Long non-coding RNA from Triticum aestivum (bread wheat), 3095 nucleotides. RefSeq lists it as uncharacterized. The transcript has 4 exons. The record is from RefSeq and is a predicted model, not a curated record. Lineage: Eukaryota; Viridiplantae; Streptophyta; Magnoliopsida; Poales; Poaceae.
UCUACGCAAUAACUGCACGAUGGCUAUCCCGCUAAUUUCUCUGCUCCAGAUCCCCAUCGUCUUCCCAAUAGCUCUGCCCCCGCGGUCCCCUCCACCCUGCCGUACCGCCGCCGAGCUCCCGCGCCGCCUCCACGCGUGCCCGCUUUGCCGCCGUCAUGCUACAAGCCCUCCUAUAAUGGAUCCGCAGGGAGAGCGCACACCUGUCGCUGUAGAGGAAGAACCAGUGCACUCGCUGCCGCCGCCAUGUGAGAGGCUCCUGCUUCCGGAAGCGAGGAGCUGGUCGAGGUCCAACUCCUCAAGGAGAGGCGCACUCCACAUGCUCGCCGGGCUGCCCUCACCCACCCCAUGGCUACCUGCUCCCCGCUGCGCCCACCCACCCCAUGCACUACUAGCUUGCUGUGACCCUCCGCCAUGGGCAUCAGCGCCUGCCGUGGUAGCUGCGGCAAGCAUUUUCUGACCACUUAAGUGUUUGUUAUAAUGCCUGCAAGAAGUCAAGCAAAAAAGUAUUUCAAGUUUGUACCGAUGUUUAUGAUAGUUGGAGAUUAGGGGUAAAAUAUAUUUUCUUACUGGCUAAUGAUUGUAUCAAUUUGUUAUGUGGGAAUUUUGUUAUAGCAAAAGCUGAAUAGGUGUUCGUCGGCUAUCCGUCGUCUUCAUCUGCCCAUCUGCAUCAUGGUACGUUUGCUACAGCUUAGUAAUUAGAAUCAGUCCUGUUCAUGUCUGUGUUGCGUCAACUGCCAUUUUCCAAUAGAAUUUAUUUUGUGAGCAAUCGAUUUGGCCACAUCCUAACGGAACAUAAAACUCUGAUGAAUCGAUCUGGCCGCAUCAUUUUAGGCUUAUUGAUUGAUCUGGUUAAUUUGUUUGCAAUUUGCUAUGCAAAUCAAUCUAGCUGGUUUUUAGAGUUAAUCACAAUAACUGAAAUAUUAACCUCAAGAGGUCUCUUCACUAACUUUAGAGUUGAUUUUUAGAUCCAAAUAGAUUUAGUUCCUGCAGUAAUUUGCGAAUGCCGUACGUCCGAAGUGCUUUCAGCGAUACCAACAUGCACAUACAAGUGCUUCGAAGCAUGCAUGUUGAUUGAUUUCUGGGAGACUAGCAUGCACGAAGAAGCGAGCCUAGAUAAGCUUUCGGCUGUAGCUCACGAAUAUAUUCCAACAAAUUUCUUCUCCGUUGAACUAUUUUGUCCUACCGCAGAUGCCUAAUCAUCAAAACUAUGAGCCAGUAGGCCAUCAUUUACAAGUUCAACGAUUCAGUGAUGUUGAAGCUAAUCAUUUGACUUCACUGCCUUCUCACCAUAUAGGUAUUGUACCAAUUUUAAAUUUUAAGUUAGUGGGGUUGAUAAUUUGGUACUGCAGACAGUCACAUAAUGACUAAGUAUUGCUAAUUUUCCCAACGAAUCAAAGUUAGGUUCAUAUGUUCUCCGAGAAGCUUAGUAUAUGGCCUUUGGGCACAGGUACAUUUUAAAACAUGGCAUGGUGAUGAAAAUGUCUUCUUAGAAAAUGAAUUUGUAAUGAGAAAUUAUGUUCUAUUUUUUUCUAGCUAUAUACAAUUACUGAAGAUGGGCUAAGAGUUGUGCCUUUUUAAUUACUCCGAAUUUACAUAGCAAAGAAUCUGUAAUGAGAAGUUAUGUUUCAUGCAUGCAAAUAAUGUAUGCAUCUUCUGGAAUCCAAGGGUCAGAACAUUCAUCUGGACCCGUCAGGUAUGAUCUGCUUCUAGCAACAUUUCUUUUGUAAUUUAUGCAUCAUUGGAGCAUAAUGAUGUUUGUAAUACUUCUUUUCUUGUUUGCAGACAUAUCCGAGAUGCUGAUGAAAUCAGUCACCAAUUUUUGAAAAUCGACAAUGUUUAUAUGGACAUCAAAGCUUGAUGUUGUAUUUUCCCGUUACUCUACCUUCUACCAUAGACCACUGAACUUUUGCCUCCAGUGCAAUGAAUUAUACAUACCGCACAUGCUUCUGAUUUGUAAUGCCCUUUUUGCUACAUAUACAAUACUAUUGAAGCUUUUGACUGCUCAUACUUUACUUGAGAGUGUAAUUAUGCAACCCUAACUAUAUGAAGAAAGUAAUUAUGACCGACUCUACUUGCAGAAGGUUGGAGUCUAUUACAUCGAAAGAAGAAAUACUAUAUGAAGUUCCAAAGUUACUUUUUUAUUUGUGAAAGUCUGAUGCAUCUCAGACGCUGUUGCUUUGCUGCAGGAUGAUGAAGAGGAAAAGGGAAAGGGGAAGGAGCUCAUGGAAACAAAGAGGGGUGGAAUAAGGAAUAAACAAGGAUGGGAUGGGAGGCCUCCAAGCCAACGGCAAACUUCAUUAACGGUCCAUAUCACAUCUUGAAACCAGCAUUAGUUGAGACUACAAGAUUUAAAACAUCUUACUAUUGAUAAAAAAAUGGAAACUCAGGUAAAAGCAAGUAUCAUUAUACCGCUUGAGAAGACUAAAGCAUGGGAGAUUGUGGUUUCCAAAUCAGAGAAUUGUGGUCUUGAAGUUGUUGGUAAAAGGUAAUUCAUAUAGGCCAAGACGUUCUCACUAUGCCGCAAUGGGAACAUUUACGAAGAGAUUAACCAUCUGAAGACUUGGUUACCUGGUUUUAUUUUAAAGGAAGCCGUGUGUGAGGGAAAGAGAGCAAUAAAUUUGUGCACGAACUAACAGUGUUAGUAAGAAUUUAGCGUCAGCGAGGUUGGAGGAGACGAGGGCAUAUUAUUCCGGGUGGUGUCGAAGGAUGCGGGGAGCAAACCACCGCACCCAAGAGAGUAGAAAAAGGCCGGCUGUCCCUCAAACACAUUCCACAUAUGGGGAAGAAAUGAGGCUGUUCAGGCAGUCUGCUACGUCGGGUGCAGCUCACCUCAGACCAAGUUUUUUCUUUCUUUAUUCUCUCUCUCUCCAUCCCAACCAGUAAUAUGCAUGUGAUUGAUAAUUUGGGGGACCUGGCUGCAUGAAUAGACAAACGAGGUUCAAAGUGGACACAUCCAGACAUUGUUCAGAUGUGCCAGCUGACAUACAUUGGGUAGGUCAUAUUUUCCCAGUUCAAUUGUAGAUGCUUUUAUCUUUUUAGUAGAAUAGGUUAGGAUAGAUCAAACCAUAUUUCUUAACGAUACGUGCGUUGCACGU